Molecule: ribosomal RNA, 658 nt
Filed under: uncultured fungus
Lineage: Eukaryota; Fungi
Description: eukaryotic LSU rRNA
Rfam family: Eukaryotic large subunit ribosomal RNA
Source: RNAcentral
CCCGCUGAACUUAAGCAUAUCAAUAAGCGGAGGAAAAGAAACUAACAAGGAUUCCCCUAGUAACUGCGAGUGAAGCGGGAAAAGCUCAAAUUUAAAAUCUGGCGGUCUCCGGCCGUCCGAGUUGUAAUCUAGAGAAGUGUUAUCCGCGCUGGACCGUGUACAAGUCUCCUGGAAUGGAGCGUCAUAGAGGGUGAGAAUCCCGUCUUUGACACGGACUGCCAGGGCUUUGUGAUGCGCUCUCAAAGAGUCGAGUUGUUUGGGAAUGCAGCUCAAAAUGGGUGGUAAAUUCCAUCUAAAGCUAAAUAUUGGCGAGAGACCGAUAGCGAACAAGUACCGUGAGGGAAAGAUGAAAAGAACUUUGGAAAGAGAGUUAAACAGUACGUGAAAUUGCUGAAAGGGAAACGCUUGAAGUCAGUCGCGUUGGCCGGGGAUCAACCUUGCUUUUGCUGGGCGUACUUUCCGGUUGACGGGUCAGCAUCAAUUUUGACCGUUGGAUAAAGUCUAGGGGAAUGUGGCAUCUUCGGAUGUGUUAUAGCCCUUGGUCGCAUACAACGGUUGGGAUUGAUGAACUCAGCACGCCGCAAGGCCGGGUACUUGUACCACGUUCGUGCUUAGGAUGUUGGCGUAAUGGCUUUAAACGACCCGUCUUGAAACACGG